AGUUCCUUCUCCUUGGUAUUAAUCAGUCCAAGAAAGCAGCCUGGACUGAUUGCUGCCAUUGAGCUUUGUGCUGAAUUUACCAGCUGAUCACCAUCUCUUCUCUUCAUGCCAUGAAUUGGCAGCAGGGAGUGUGUUGUGUAAACUUCACGUUAUCCUCAAAACCCUGGCAACCGCAGUGAUGCAGCAAGAAAAUAUUUGGAAUCUUUGGGAGGUGCUGCAACAGGCAGCCCUGCCUGGCACUGGGAAACUCUGCUGAGGGCAGGCAGGCCAGGAGUUGUGUGCCCCACCAAGGGUGGGGACAGAUGUCUCAGCCUCCCUGGUCUGACCAGGUCCUGAAGCCCUUGGGACACCAGGCAUUUCCCCUUGACAAACAGGAUUGGUCACAACUUGCCAGCCUUCCCAUUUCUAUUAUUCCUGUAUCCAUUUAGUCAAGAAAACACAGGCUACUUCAUGGUGCAGUGCUUUCCUACUGCAGAAUGGAGCCUUUGCAGAGCCAGCGUCUUUCUUGAUGUGUAAGUAGAUGGACUCUAAUAAAUCCAGGGUACAAUGAAUCAUUUGCACUUGGUGCCUGACCUCCUUGGUGUCUUUAGUUUUUAGUUUGGCAGCCUUAUGGAGAGAAUUAGCCUAUCUCACUUAUAUUGAAAUGUAUACAUAAUCUGAAUCCUGUAAAAUCAAUAUUCAUUAUUCAAGGUGACAACAGAGCUCAAAUGAGUCCUUCAGCUAUAUCAAGAGUAUCAGGACGAUCACAUGUUACUUGGAUUAGCGACCUCAUGCAGCCGCACGGUUUCCCCGCGUGGGCAGGGCGGCAGGCCCGGUGCCGAGGAGCGCGGCCCGAGGCUCCGGAGCGGAUCCCGCCCUGCCCGGUGCCCCGGGAGCGCCUCCAUUGCGCCAGAGCUCCGCAAGUGCAGGUCAUCCAGCCUCUGCAAUCUUGCUGCUGGAGAGGUAAAGAAUUAGCUCUCCUGCCUUGCCCAGCACCAUCUUCAUCACACUCCUGAGCAGCACAGGCUGCAACCAGGAGCACAGCACAUUGUGGUGGCUUCCCUGUCCCUGUGAUGUGAACACCCUGGAUGCCACAGACAGGAGAGGACAAGGAGAGAGCUAGGAGAGACUGCUUGUGCUGCAUACCAAGGAGCUUGUUCCUCCUUUCUCAGAGCUGAAGAUACCUUGGGUUAGAAGAGCCUUCUGUAGGCAUCUGGAGAACAGUUUGUGAAGUGUUACAAUGUGAAAACUAUGCCCAAAGGUCCCAAGCUUGCUCCUGUUUAGCUUCCUUGAGUCCUGGAUUAAGAGCCACAUGUGGUCAUGAAAUGCCAGAGACCCAGAGCUCUUUCAGCCUGCCUGAGUGGUGUCAGUGUGGGAAACUUACACACCUGAUCUUUCCUUCUCCUGUGUGUUAUUUGUGUUUAGCAGGCUGUAUUCUGCCUUCAUCAUGUGCCAUUGUGUGUUUAUACAUUUUACACAUCCAUUUGGAAGCAAGAACCAGUGCCACAGGACUUACCAACCAGCCACGCUCUCUAGCAGAGCACCCAAGCAAGCUGCAUUGAAAACCAUCCAGAGAUUGAAAUAGAAUGGCAGAAAAGUCUCAGGAAAAUGCCCUGCUACAAAGACAUUGGAAAAUCAAGGUUGUUUCAUGGCUUGUUUGUGAGCAGGAAGCAAAACCAUCCUGAUUUGGUGCCUCUGAAGAGGCCAGCAGAACUGGGAUGCAUGUUGCAGGACUUGGCGUGCAGGAAUUCAUGAACCAUAAGGCCUUGUCAAAACUAAUUUUUAAAUAAAAUGCAGUGUCCUAGCA
Molecule: long non-coding RNA, 1786 nt
Filed under: Zonotrichia albicollis (white-throated sparrow)
Lineage: Eukaryota; Metazoa; Chordata; Aves; Passeriformes; Passerellidae
Description: lncRNA (ENSZALG00000012604.1)
Source: RNAcentral